GGGUUGUGAGGUUAAGCGACUAAGCGUACACGGUGGAUGCCCUGGCAGUCAGAGGCGAUGAAGGACGUGCUAAUCUGCGAUAAGCGUCGGUAAGGUGAUAUGAACCGUUAUAACCGGCGAUUUCCGAAUGGGGAAACCCAGUGUGUUUCGACACACUAUCAUUAACUGAAUCCAUAGGUUAAUGAGGCGAACCGGGGGAACUGAAACAUCUAAGUACCCCGAGGAAAAGAAAUCAACCGAGAUUCCCCCAGUAGCGGCGAGCGAACGGGGAGGAGCCCAGAGCCUGAAUCAGUGUGUGUGUUAGUGGAAGCGUCUGGAAAGGCGCGCGAUACAGGGUGACAGCCCCGUACACAAAAAUGCACAUACUGUGAGCUCGAUGAGUAGGGCGGGACACGUGGUAUCCUGUCUGAAUAUGGGGGGACCAUCCUCCAAGGCUAAAUACUCCUGACUGACCGAUAGUGAACCAGUACCGUGAGGGAAAGGCGAAAAGAACCCCGGCGAGGGGAGUGAAAAAGAACCUGAAACCGUGUACGUACAAGCAGUGGGAGCCUCUUUAUGGGGUGACUGCGUACCUUUUGUAUAAUGGGUCAGCGACUUAUAUUCUGUAGCAAGGUUAACCGAAUAGGGGAGCCGAAGGGAAACCGAGUCUUAACUGGGCGUUAAGUUGCAGGGUAUAGACCCGAAACCCGGUGAUCUAGCCAUGGGCAGGUUGAAGGUUGGGUAACACUAACUGGAGGACCGAACCGACUAAUGUUGAAAAAUUAGCGGAUGACUUGUGGCUGGGGGUGAAAGGCCAAUCAAACCGGGAGAUAGCUGGUUCUCCCCGAAAGCUAUUUAGGUAGCGCCUCGUGAAUUCAUCUCCGGGGGUAGAGCACUGUUUCGGCAAGGGGGUCAUCCCGACUUACCAACCCGAUGCAAACUGCGAAUACCGGAGAAUGUUAUCACGGGAGACACACGGCGGGUGCUAACGUCCGUCGUGAAGAGGGAAACAACCCAGACCGCCAGCUAAGGUCCCAAAGUCAUGGUUAAGUGGGAAACGAUGUGGGAAGGCCCAGACAGCCAGGAUGUUGGCUUAGAAGCAGCCAUCAUUUAAAGAAAGCGUAAUAGCUCACUGGUCGAGUCGGCCUGCGCGGAAGAUGUAACGGGGCUAAACCAUGCACCGAAGCUGCGGCAGCGACGCUUAUGCGUUGUUGGGUAGGGGAGCGUUCUGUAAGCCUGUGAAGGUGUACUGUGAGGUAUGCUGGAGGUAUCAGAAGUGCGAAUGCUGACAUAAGUAACGAUAAAGCGGGUGAAAAGCCCGCUCGCCGGAAGACCAAGGGUUCCUGUCCAACGUUAAUCGGGGCAGGGUGAGUCGACCCCUAAGGCGAGGCCGAAAGGCGUAGUCGAUGGGAAACAGGUUAAUAUUCCUGUACUUGGUGUUACUGCGAAGGGGGGACGGAGAAGGCUAUGUUGGCCGGGCGACGGUUGUCCCGGUUUAAGCGUGUAGGCUGGUUUUCCAGGCAAAUCCGGAAAAUCAAGGCUGAGGCGUGAUGACGAGGCACUACGGUGCUGAAGCAACAAAUGCCCUGCUUCCAGGAAAAGCCUCUAAGCAUCAGGUAACAUCAAAUCGUACCCCAAACCGACACAGGUGGUCAGGUAGAGAAUACCAAGGCGCUUGAGAGAACUCGGGUGAAGGAACUAGGCAAAAUGGUGCCGUAACUUCGGGAGAAGGCACGCUGAUAUGUAGGUGAAGCGACUUGCUCGUGGAGCUGAAAUCAGUCGAAGAUACCAGCUGGCUGCAACUGUUUAUUAAAAACACAGCACUGUGCAAACACGAAAGUGGACGUAUACGGUGUGACGCCUGCCCGGUGCCGGAAGGUUAAUUGAUGGGGUUAGCGGUAACGCGAAGCUCUUGAUCGAAGCCCCGGUAAACGGCGGCCGUAACUAUAACGGUCCUAAGGUAGCGAAAUUCCUUGUCGGGUAAGUUCCGACCUGCACGAAUGGCGUAAUGAUGGCCAGGCUGUCUCCACCCGAGACUCAGUGAAAUUGAACUCGCUGUGAAGAUGCAGUGUACCCGCGGCAAGACGGAAAGACCCCGUGAACCUUUACUAUAGCUUGACACUGAACAUUGAGCCUUGAUGUGUAGGAUAGGUGGGAGGCUUUGAAGUGUGGACGCCAGUCUGCAUGGAGCCGACCUUGAAAUACCACCCUUUAAUGUUUGAUGUUCUAACGUUGGCCCCUGAUCGGGGUUGCGGACAGUGUCUGGUGGGUAGUUUGACUGGGGCGGUCUCCUCCUAAAGAGUAACGGAGGAGCACGAAGGUUGGCUAAUCCUGGUCGGACAUCAGGAGGUUAGUGCAAUGGCAUAAGCCAGCUUGACUGCGAGCGUGACGGCGCGAGCAGGUGCGAAAGCAGGUCAUAGUGAUCCGGUGGUUCUGAAUGGAAGGGCCAUCGCUCAACGGAUAAAAGGUACUCCGGGGAUAACAGGCUGAUACCGCCCAAGAGUUCAUAUCGACGGCGGUGUUUGGCACCUCGAUGUCGGCUCAUCACAUCCUGGGGCUGAAGUAGGUCCCAAGGGUAUGGCUGUUCGCCAUUUAAAGUGGUACGCGAGCUGGGUUUAGAACGUCGUGAGACAGUUCGGUCCCUAUCUGCCGUGGGCGCUGGAGAACUGAGGGGGGCUGCUCCUAGUACGAGAGGACCGGAGUGGACGCAUCACUGGUGUUCGGGUUGUCAUGCCAAUGGCACUGCCCGGUAGCUAAAUGCGGAAGAGAUAAGUGCUGAAAGCAUCUAAGCACGAAACUUGCCCCGAGAUGAGUUCUCCCUGAGACUUUAAGUCUCCUGAAGGAACGUUGAAGACGACGACGUUGAUAGGCCGGGUGUGUAAGCGCAGCGAUGCGUUGAGCUAACCGGUACUAAUGAACCGUGAGGCUUAACCUUACAACGCCGAAG
This 2926-nucleotide ribosomal RNA is filed under the name Escherichia coli. RNAcentral describes it as "partial 23S ribosomal RNA". It matches the Rfam family "Bacterial large subunit ribosomal RNA". Lineage: Bacteria; Pseudomonadati; Pseudomonadota; Gammaproteobacteria; Enterobacterales; Enterobacteriaceae. The record is from RNAcentral.